This 107-nucleotide small nucleolar RNA is filed under the name Cephalotus follicularis. RNAcentral's name for it is "Plant small nucleolar RNA R71". It matches the Rfam family "Plant small nucleolar RNA R71". From Rfam's summary of the family: R71 is a member of the C/D box family of snoRNAs containing the C (UGAUGA) and D (CUGA) box motifs. Lineage: Eukaryota; Viridiplantae; Streptophyta; Magnoliopsida; Oxalidales; Cephalotaceae. The record is from Rfam by way of RNAcentral.
AAACCAUGAUGAGGAAACUCUAAGAGGAGGUCUUUGAAUCAUUCCAUACAUCGAGAGAAUGAUUCAUUGGAUUUCUGACGAAACUGGAGAAUAUCGUUCCUAAGCUU